This 327-nucleotide ribosomal RNA is filed under the name uncultured eukaryote. Its description in RNAcentral is "partial 18S ribosomal RNA". It matches the Rfam family "Eukaryotic small subunit ribosomal RNA", at positions 1470 to 1796 of the family's 1831-position model. The record is from RNAcentral.
CCCUUAGAUGUUCUGGGCCGCACGCGCGCUACACUGACGAAUGCAACGAGCUUAUAACCUUGGCCGAAAGGUCUGGGUAAUCUCCAAAUUUCGUCGUGAUGGGGAUAGAUUAUUGCAAUUAUUAAUCUUCAACGAGGAAUGCCUAGUAAGCGCAAGUCAUCAGCUUGCGUUGAUUACGUCCCUGCCCUUUGUACACACCGCCCGUCGCUCCUACCGAUUGAAUGGUCCGGUGAAGCGUUCGGACCGUGGCCUUUUGACGGUUUUCCGUCGAUUGGCUGUGGGAAGUUCGUUAAACCUUAUCAUUUAGAGGAAGGAGAAGUCGUAACA